UACAGGGGGUGCAAACGUUGCUCGGAAUCAUUGGGCGUAAAGCGCACGUAGGCGGUUCGUUAUGUCGGAUGUGAAAGCCCUUGGCUUAACCGAGGAAGUGCAUCCGAAACUGGCGAGCUAGAGUACUAAAGAGGAUCGCGGAAUUCCCGGUGUAGAGGUGGAAUUCGUAGAUAUCGGGAGGAACACCGGUGGCGAAGGCGGCGAUCUGGGUAGAUACUGACGCUGAGGUGCGAAAGCGUGGGGAGCAAACAGG
This 253-nucleotide ribosomal RNA is filed under the name uncultured bacterium. RNAcentral describes it as "partial 16S ribosomal RNA". It matches the Rfam family "Bacterial small subunit ribosomal RNA", at positions 524 to 776 of the family's 1533-position model. The record is from RNAcentral.